Molecule: ribosomal RNA, 879 nt
Filed under: human gut metagenome
Description: bacterial LSU rRNA
Rfam family: Bacterial large subunit ribosomal RNA
Source: RNAcentral
ACGGUCCUAAGGUAGCGAAAUUCCUUGUCGGGUAAGUUCCGACCUGCACGAAUGGCGUAAUGAUGGCCAGGCUGUCUCCACCCGAGACUCAGUGAAAUUGAACUCGCUGUGAAGAUGCAGUGUACCCGCGGCAAGACGGAAAGACCCCGUGAACCUUUACUAUAGCUUGACACUGAACAUUGAGCCUUGAUGUGUAGGAUAGGUGGGAGGCUUUGAAGUGUGGACGCCAGUCUGCAUGGAGCCGACCUUGAAAUACCACCCUUUAAUGUUUGAUGUUCUAACGUUGGCCCCUAAUCGGGGUUGCGGACAGUGUCUGGUGGGUAGUUUGACUGGGGCGGUCUCCUCCUAAAGAGUAACGGAGGAGCACGAAGGUUGGCUAAUCCUGGUCGGACAUCAGGAGGUUAGUGCAAUGGCAUAAGCCAGCUUGACUGCGAGCGUGACGGCGCGAGCAGGUGCGAAAGCAGGUCAUAGUGAUCCGGUGGUUCUGAAUGGAAGGGCCAUCGCUCAACGGAUAAAAGGUACUCCGGGGAUAACAGGCUGAUACCGCCCAAGAGUUCAUAUCGACGGCGGUGUUUGGCACCUCGAUGUCGGCUCAUCACAUCCUGGGGCUGAAGUAGGUCCCAAGGGUAUGGCUGUUCGCCAUUUAAAGUGGUACGCGAGCUGGGUUUAGAACGUCGUGAGACAGUUCGGUCCCUAUCUGCCGUGGGCGCUGGAGAACUGAGGGGGGCUGCUCCUAGUACGAGAGGACCGGAGUGGACGCAUCACUGGUGUUCGGGUUGUCAUGCCAAUGGCACUGCCCGGUAGCUAAAUGCGGAAGAGAUAAGUGCUGAAAGCAUCUAAGCACGAAACUUGCCCCGAGAUGAGUUCUCCCUGAGACUU